RNAcentral lists this long non-coding RNA (2920 nucleotides) under Homo sapiens (human). Its description in RNAcentral is "HSALNT0069207". The record is from RNAcentral. Lineage: Eukaryota; Metazoa; Chordata; Mammalia; Primates; Hominidae.
AUAUAGAGAGAGGUAGAUACUUAUUAUAUAUAUAAUCCCUCUUUACAUGUUCCUCAGUUGGGCCCUGAGCACUACAGCUUGUCUCCUUUAUCUGGAAGCUGAUUGCAUGCCUCCCCUCUCUCCCUGGCACAGCAGCUGGGAGCAACUUGCACAUGACCAGGCUUUAUCAUUUUACAUUGGAAAUAAUAUGUUUCCAUCCAGGAUUUCAGUGAAGCUUCAUGUUCAAUCUUUUGGGAAGUCAGGACAGGGGGAAAUGUUGUUAGUUUUUUCUUAACCAGAAGAACAUAGAAGCCAGAAGAGACAGUACUAAGCUAUUGUCCCCUAAACCAGUUUCUGGUGGAGAAAAGUGAGGCUCAGGGAGGUAAAAGUGUCUGCCUCAGUUGGUUCAUCAGCGCCAGUGGCAGUGCUCUAAGGAGACGCCAGGCCUCCGGUAACCACUCAGUGUCAGAAGUUCAGGCAGCAACAGGUGCAUGAGGAAGGAGUGGGGACAUUCCAGAAAUGCAGCUGUCAGGAAUUUUUUAAAUUGUUUUCCUUUCCUCUUGGGCCAAUCAUUGGGUAUUUACAUUCACUGUGGUCACCUGAGCCAGGUACCGCAAUUGCAUGUCCUGGAGUAGAAACUGAUGUGAUACCCAAGACUAACACUUAGUUCCUUCUUUGCCUUUAAGUACUAAGUGGAUCUGUGAUUUUAGGCAAGUGAUUGUCCCUUUCUGGGCCUGUGGUUUUUUUGUUUGUUUUACUUUUUUGUUUUUUAAUUAUCAUGACCAAAAGUCUUUUAUUAUUAACAACAAUUGCACACUUUUUGUUGGGAAAAAAGGUAUACAAAUUAUAAAACAGUUAACAAUGUUUCCUUAAGGAGAGAAGUGUUAAUGCUCUUCUCUAAUUAUGCUUUUAAUGGUAUUUUGUUCUAUUUUUUUAUUUUCAAUAGCUUCUUUAUUUCCCUUGGGAUAUUGAAGCUUUACUUAAUCUUAUUCUUUCUAAGUAGGGUAGAGAAUUCCUGUUUCAAGUCUCCACAAAACAAAAUCCCUUUUCUUGACAUAGUAGAAAGGACAGGUGCUUGGAUGUUUGGUUGGCAGGGGAAAGGAAAGAGUCCAGGUGCUACUGAUAGAAAUAUUCAACCAAAUCCUCCAGUUUUCGACUCCACCACUCACUGUGGUGCCUUCCUCAAGACCUUGGAGCUCCAAGUCUCUGAAGAAUAUUUCAGGCAAUGAGAGGAGUCCCUGACUAAGCACCAUCUAUUGAAAAGUCUCUUAUUUCUCCAUUAAAUUUUUUGGCACCUUCAUUGAAAAUCAGUCGAGCAUAAAUAAAAGCUGGGAUACAUGAAGACUGCCAUCCCUUGAGUCACUUGCCCUGUAGCUGCCACUGUUGGAAAAGGGCUUGCUUCUGUGUCCUUGUGCCCACUUUGAAAAUCCCUGGGAAGUCCUUGGAGUCAGAUGAGCAGGCCUCCGCCACUCUGCCAAAAAGUCUGUUCAGAAGUUUCACAUCACUAGAGAAGAGAGAAGAAGGACAUUUGUACUGGGAGGAGUCGACCGGUCCCAGUAAGGAGAAAGUAGCUACAGCGUCAUGGGUGAGCUGGGUCCCCCAAAAAGGAACUUUAAGGGAAUGGACUGAAUCAAGUCUGAGAUGUCCCCAAAGCAAGACCAAAGAACUGAGGAAGAGAAGCAUUCAUCAGAAACCAAAAUUCAGCUACAAGUGAGCAUCCAGAUGGAGGUAUUAUGAAGAGGAACUGAGACUGAGGGCAAAAGGUGCCAGCCAGAAUCCUGGAUAGGAGAGCAAGAACCAGGACCUCAUUUAAGAGACAACCUGCUUAAGGCAGAGUAAGGUGAGAUUGGAUUCACGCAAAGACCUGGAAUUCAAGUAGGUUAAUGAACAGACAGUGUGUGCCUAUACCACGAAUUUACAAUAAUAAUAAGGGUGCUAAUAAUCACAUGGAAUUGUAGAGUAUAAUGAAAAUAUACACACUGGAGAGAAAUUGCACGGGUUGGCAUCUCAGCUUUGUCAUUUACUAUAACAGUGACCUUGGGCAAGUUAUUUAACCACUCUCUGCCUCAAUUUCCUGAUCAGUAAAAUGAGCUAAUAAUACUUUCUUUUUAUUUUGAGAUGGAGUCUCACUCUUUCACUGAGGCUGGAGUGCAGUGGUGCGAUCUCGGCUCACUGCAGCCUCCACCUCCCAGGUUCAAGCGAUUCUCCUGCCUCAGCCUCCCCAGUAACCAGGAUUACAAACAUGCACCACCAUACCCAGCUAACAUAAAUAUGAAUAUAUUAUAUAUAUAUUUGUACUUUUAGUAGAGAUGAGGUUUCACCAUGUUGGCCAGGCUGGUCUUGAAUUCCUGACCUCAAGUGAUCUGCCUGCCUCGGUCUCCCAAAGUGCUGAGAUUACAGGCAUAAACCACCAGGCUUGCACUAUUGAUAAUUAUUAUAGCAUAAAGUUUUUCUGAGGACUAAAUGGGGCAAAAUACGUAAAACACUAAUUAUAAUUAUUGGCAAAUCCCAUAAUGCUUGUUGUUAUUAGUAUACUUAGAAUUAUUUUAACAUUAAAAACUGAAAACUGAAGCUCUGAGAGUCUGUGUGACUUUGAGGAUUAAAGAACUGAAAAAUGGUAGAAGUAGAAUUUGAACUAAGAAAGUACGGUUAUUGAAUGCAUGGAUUUAAUCCCUAUUAAAUACUUUAUCUUCCAAAAUCUAUGACUCUUUAGUCUUCUUUGUUAACAAAACCUACUUUACGAAAUACAGAACUCUCAGUUGUAUAUAUCAAAUAAUAUUUGUCUGUAGCUGAAUUCUGUGAACGUAUCCAGUCAUCCAUUCCAUAGUUGUAAGAGCAUUACUUUUUGAGACGGAGUCUUGCUCUGUUGCCCAGGCCGGAGUGCAGUGGCGCGAUCUCGGCUCACUGCAGGCUCCACCUCCUGGGUUCACGCCAUUCUCCC